AAGGAGUGAGGAACAUGUUACUGAGGAAAGAGGAUCUUUCCUUUGUAGCAGAAGACAGCUAAGUGACACAUCUGCUCUUAUGUGGACAGCAUAGAAUGUGCCUAUGAUAAAUGAACUGGGUGAUCUACUUCAGACUUCCAAGCAGGUGUUAAAGGUGCCUCUUGGUUUCUUCUUGCUGCAAGAGGAGAGAUAUACAUUGAGGAAAGGGCUGUUAAACAGAAGAAACCAGGACUUGAGAGCUGUGAAAUGCACAGGUUCUCCAGAUGGCAGAGGAUGUUAAGAUUAUGAAAUGGCUUCUCAGCAAAGAUCAAGGAGAAGGCAGAGAAGGGCUUAUCUCUAAGAGACCUGUGUGCCUUCAUCUACUGGAGUGAACCCCCCCACAUGAUUCACAGGAGGCUGUGUGGUUUUGUGAGAGGAUGAGAGUAGCAGAAACGCUGCUAGCUUAGACUCGAAGAGAACAGAAUGAAACAAAGCCACCUGGCUCCCCAAAUUGUGCUGACCAGAAGCAUGCUGAGAAAACUACUCAGCUGCAGAGAUGUGUGACCUUUCAUAAAACGGGAGGGUGAUAGAUGGCAGAACCAGGUGCCCAGGAGACAGAGCCAUGGAACAUGGAGAAUUACUCCUGAGGUACAGGUAAUAGAAGGAGUAAGCUUAACGUCAGGGGGCGGGGGAGAGAGGGUCAAAGUGUAGUAUCCUUGAAACUGAGAUUAUAGCAAGAACACACUUAUCAUUAAUGACAACAUCUAGAUAUAUGUCCAUGAGCAUGGGUUAAUUAGGUGGGAUAAAAAAAAAGAAUAGUGAAAGUAAAGCAUUGAAGACAUUGAAGAUCAUCCUUAUAAAUGUUGAAGGCCCUGAGAGAGCUGACGGGAGUAAUAGUGAAGAGACCAAGUAAACUAGGUGUCAGUAGUUACAAAAAUCCAACUUCCCUGGAUAACCCUUGCUGAGUCAUCCACAUUGGUUUGUAAUCAUUGUCCAGCUUCCCAACCCAACUACAUUGAACUUUGCAGGUCUCCAAAUGUCUGUACAUACUUGUAGUAUGUUUCCACAAGUCCCUGUAUUUAUUACAUGACAGUAUUUUCAAACUUUAUUAUGUUCUUUGCCUUUACUAUUAGCUCCAGGAGGGCUGAGGCUGAGUUCAAGUUGUUUAACAUUAUUCCCCACACUCAGCUCAGUGCCUGGUGUGCAUAGUAGGCACCUUGUGAUGGAAGAAGAGGAUUUCCAUCCUAGGCUUAAGAUAAAAGAUCUAAAGCAGUUCCAAAAGAGCACAUUUCUUUGGUAUCUCUCCUUCAGAUUUUCUGACAAACAUUAAUAUCUGAGCUCAAACAAUGCUUUCCCUUAAGGAAGACACUUAUAGAGCUUUAAAUCCCUUAUAAACAUUAGGUGCUAGAUCCUUUUAAAAAAUAUAAUUAUUUAUACAAGGAAGCAUUUGAAAGAUAUCUCUUGUGAAUUCCCUAAUGUCCAGGAAAUGUGAUUUUGAUAAACACUUUUCUACAGUAGUCGCCAUUAUGGAUUUUCUCUUCCAUGGCGGUCUCAUUGGUUAAACCGACCAGCUCUUCCUCCUGACCUGAAGAGUCUUAUUUAAAUUACUUGGAGAUACAUUGCCAAAAGUUAUGUACAAAAAUAGAAUUCAAAGCAGAAAUAGCAUGUGGCAAUUGGUAAAAUAUACGUUAUUACCCACGUUAACCAAAUCAUACAAAAGAUAAAACAAUUAAUGUGGCAAAAAAAAA
This is a long non-coding RNA of Phyllostomus discolor (pale spear-nosed bat), 1727 nucleotides long. RefSeq lists it as uncharacterized. The record is from RefSeq and is a predicted model, not a curated record. Lineage: Eukaryota; Metazoa; Chordata; Mammalia; Chiroptera; Phyllostomidae. The transcript is spliced from 2 exons.